GACGAACGCUGGCGGCGUGCUUAACACAUGCAAGUCGAGCGGAAAGGCCCUUCGGGGUACUCGAGCGGCGAACGGGUGAGUAACACGUGGGUAACCUGCCCUUCACUCUGGGAUAACUCCGGGAAACCGGGGCUAAUACCGGAUACGACCACUUUAGGCAUCUUCGGUGGUGGAAAGUUUUUCGGUUGGAGGAUGGACCCGCGGCCUAUCAGCUUGUUGGUGGGGUAAUGGCCUACCAAGGCAGUGACGGGUAGCCGGCCUGAGAGGGCGACCGGCCACACUGGGACUGAGACACGGCCCAGACUCCUACGGGAGGCAGCAGUGGGGAUAUUGCGCAAUGGGCGGAAGCCUGACGCAGCGACGCCGCGUGAGGGAUGACGGCCUUC
This 386-nucleotide ribosomal RNA is filed under the name uncultured bacterium. RNAcentral's name for it is "bacterial SSU rRNA". It matches the Rfam family "Bacterial small subunit ribosomal RNA", at positions 28 to 419 of the family's 1533-position model. The record is from RNAcentral.